UACGGGGGGGGCAAGCGUUGUUCGGAAUUACUGGGCGUAAAGGGCUCGUAGGCGGCCAACUAAGUCAUACUUGAAAUCCCUCGGCUUAACCGGGGAACUGCGUCUGAUACUGGAUGGCUUGAGUUCGGGAGAGGGAUGCGGAAUUCCAGGUGUAGCGGUGAAAUGCGUAGAUAUCUGGAGGAACACCCGUGGCGAAGGCGGUUCUCUGGGACGGUACUGACACUGAGGAGCGAAAGCGUGGGUAGCAAACAGG
RNAcentral lists this ribosomal RNA (253 nucleotides) under uncultured bacterium. RNAcentral's name for it is "partial 16S ribosomal RNA". It matches the Rfam family "Bacterial small subunit ribosomal RNA", at positions 524 to 776 of the family's 1533-position model. The record is from RNAcentral.